RNAcentral lists this ribosomal RNA (424 nucleotides) under uncultured bacterium. Its description in RNAcentral is "bacterial SSU rRNA". It matches the Rfam family "Bacterial small subunit ribosomal RNA", at positions 355 to 771 of the family's 1533-position model. The record is from RNAcentral.
UGGGGAAUAUUGGACAAUGGGCGAAAGCCUGAUCCAGCGACGCCGCGUGUGUGAAGAAGGCCUGCGGGUUGUAAAGCACUUUCGAUGGGAACGAAAUGUGCCGGGUUAAUACACCGGCCAGCUGACGUUACUCAAUGAAGAAGCACCGGCUAACUCUGUGCCAGCAGCCGCGGUAAUACAGAGGGUGCGAGCGUUAAUCGGAAUUACUGGGCGUAAAGCGUGCGUAGGCGGUUAGUUAAGUCUGCUGUGAAAGCCCUGGGCUCAACCUGGGAACUGCAGUGGAUACUGGCUAGCUAGAGUGUGUCAGAGGAUGGUGGAAUUCCCGGUGUAGCGGUGAAAUGCGUAGAGAUCGGGAGGAACACCAGUGGCGAAGGCGGCCAUCUGGGACAACACUGACGCUGAGGCACGAAAGCGUGGGGAGCAA